CCCUUAGAUGUUCUGGGCCGCACGCGCGCUACACUGAUGCAUUCAACGAGUUUCUUCCUGGUCCGAGAGGAAUGGGUAACCUUUUGAAAGUGCAUCGUGAUAGGGAUAGACUAUUGCAAGUAUUGGUCUUCAACGAGGAAUUCCUAGUAGACGUAGUUCAUCAGACUGCAUCGAUUACGUCCCUGCCCUUUGUACACACCGCCCGUCGCUCCUACCGAUUGAAUGCUCAGGUGAGCCAUUCGGACUUUCAUCAUGCUGGUUUCCAGUUUUGAUGAAGGAAAGUCUUGCGAACCUUAUCAUUUAGAGGAAGGAGAAGUCGUAACA
RNAcentral lists this ribosomal RNA (324 nucleotides) under uncultured eukaryote. Its description in RNAcentral is "partial 18S ribosomal RNA". It matches the Rfam family "Eukaryotic small subunit ribosomal RNA", at positions 1470 to 1796 of the family's 1831-position model. The record is from RNAcentral.